UUAUAUUUUGGUAUGUAGUUUGACUAUAUACCCUUUUAAAUAAUUUAAUUUAUUAUAUAAUAACUAAUUUACUCCUUGUUAUCACUGUAUCUAUGAAAAUAUUAUGAUUUGCAAGAUGAAAAAAUGGUAAGUUUUUUGUUUGUUUAACCCCUGCCCCUGCCCUACUUUUAUUUUCAUUCAUUUCUGUGCUACUUACUAUGUUUAUAUUAAGUAAAUAUCUCAUGCUGGUAAUUAUUUUUUCUAUAGUUUUGCAAUUCUGACAGAUGUGAAUGGUAGCAUCAGAUGUUAACUGCUGGAUGAAACCAAAUGGUUGUUAAAGUCAAAAUAUAAUAUGGAUAUAUUACAUCGCAUGAAAGUGGAUGGGAACUUCUGGAUUAA
Paramuricea clavata is the source of this 378-nucleotide non-coding RNA. Lineage: Eukaryota; Metazoa; Cnidaria; Anthozoa; Malacalcyonacea; Plexauridae. The record is from the annotation of a GenBank genome assembly.